AAAGAAACCACCAGGGAUUGCCUCAGUAACGGCGAGUGAAGCGGCAAUAGCUCAAAUUUGAAAUCUGGUCAUUUUUAGUGAUCCGAGUUGUAAUUUGUAGAGGAUGCUUUGGGUGCGACCGCGGCGCAAGUCCCUUGGAACAGGGCGUCGCAGAGGGUGAGAACCCCGUCUUGAGUCGCUGGUACGCGCCCGUGCAAAGCUCCUUCAACGAGUCGAGUUGUUUGGGAAUGCAGCUCAAAGUGGGUGGUAAAUUUCAUCUAAAGCUAAAUAUUGGCCGGAGACCGAUAGCGCACAAGUAGAGUGAUCGAAAGGUUAAAAGCACCUUGAAAAGGGAGUUAAAAAGCACGUGAAAUUGUUGAAAGGGAAGCGCUUGCGAUCAGACUCGGACGCGGUAGUUCAGCGGGCAUUUUUUGCCCGUGCACUCUGCCGUGCUCCGGGCCAGCAUCAGUUUCGACGGCCGGUCAAAGGCCCCUGGAAUGUGUCGUCCUCCGGGACGUCUUAUAGCCAGGGGUGCAAUGCGGUCAGUUGGGACUGAGGAACGCGCUUCGGCACGGAUGCUGGCGU
This 564-nucleotide ribosomal RNA is filed under the name Renispora flavissima. RNAcentral's name for it is "eukaryotic LSU rRNA". It matches the Rfam family "Eukaryotic large subunit ribosomal RNA", at positions 58 to 632 of the family's 3401-position model. Lineage: Eukaryota; Fungi; Ascomycota; Eurotiomycetes; Onygenales; Onygenaceae. The record is from RNAcentral.